This is a non-coding RNA of Solanum lycopersicum (tomato), 1365 nucleotides long. Lineage: Eukaryota; Viridiplantae; Streptophyta; Magnoliopsida; Solanales; Solanaceae. The record is from RefSeq and is a predicted model, not a curated record.
AGGUUUGAUUUGGUAAUUUCUUAUCCAAUGAUUCAUCAUUGUGGUUGAUUUUAUGCAUUUAUUUUGUUGAUAUUGAAUAGGUAAGAAUUACGUAAAGUGUUUUCGUUUGUGUUUGAUCUUCUUUUUCGCUGGAUCAAUAGGCAAUUUUGUUGUAGUUGAUGAGAGUGGUAGAGAAGAAGCUACUGAAUCAGGUAGAAAAGUGGGAUGUGUUGUUACACAGGUUCUCUAUUAUGAUCAAGUUCGUGUGCUUCAAAAAUCACCAGAAUGGUGAGACUUUGAAAUUCAAUCAUCUAUUUCUUUUCGCCUUUUUUAUGGAUUUUGGGAAAGAGCAGGGGAUUGUUUUCAUUCUAAAAUCUCUUUUGAACUGGAAAAGAAGUAGGGUCAUCAUGGUCGAUGAGUCGAUUUUUAAAUCUCUAUCGAAAUGGAUAAAUUGUUUCUAGCUUGUGAGCUGUGAACGUGCAACUAGCAUAUUUUACAAAGAUUGUUGAGCUUAAGAAUGAUCAGUGAUGUAUGGAAACAGGAGAUAAUCUCCUUAUGAUGAUUUGAAGUUGUAUUCUUAUGCUUUUAACUCUCAUAUGGGUUGUAGGAAUAUCGGAUAUACAACAUUUUAAAUUUUUGUGUUUUAACAUCCACCUUCGACCUUGUUCUAGCAAGUCUGUAGGUUUUUCUGUUACAUUGUAAUAUGUCAAUCAGCUUACAUACAGAUGAAGCCUCUCAGUCACUACUCCGCGGAGUAUGUUUAGUGUUGAUUUUGACGCAGUUUGUCAUUUAUAUUUCCAACGGGCUAACUUCAGUGAUACUUUGGUCUGCCACGUAAUAUUUGCAAAAUAGAGGGUAACUUUUUGUGGGUUCGGCCCUAAUUGAGACAUCACACUUCCUCACGACAUUCCUCUAGCUAAGACGUAAUGACUUCAAUCCACUGUGCAGUGCUGUCCAAUUGGCUGGCCAGAGAUCUUCAAAUCCACAGCAGUAGAGAGUUCGAAACAGGAUAAUACGCAAUCACAGAAUUUCCAGAUGAAUGAAAGUGAAGACUCAAGUGAUGAUGGACUCCCUCCAUUAGAAGCCAAUACGAACAGAUUAAAUCCCUUUCAACAGGAGUCGGAAACAGAGUCUGAUUCAGAUACCGAUCCCUGAUCCAUGUUUUGCUACAUUUGUCACUUCAUUUCUUUUUUGCAUAUGAGAGUAGGUGUAAAGACAUUUAGUAUGUGGCAGUCCAUUGUUAUGAAUUAAGGUCAAUGAGCACAUACUAAUGUCUGAUUAGCUUUUUUGCCUAAUGUUGAUAAAAAUUUGUGAUGCAAGAUAUGUUACUGUAUUUCCUUUGGAUGUUUGACGAUUUUGAUAUGUUUUACUUGAGUUGAGGGUCUA